GUUGUCUGUCGUCGUCGUUAACUUUUUACAUUUUGAACUUCUUCUAGAGAACCACUAAAUGAAACGAAACCAAACAUGGCAUGGAUGUUCCUUAUGAGGUGCUGACCAAGUGUUGUUACUUUGUAGCCGAUCCGUCAUCUAAGAUGGACGCCAGGGGGGGAUUUAGUUUAACAUAGGACCCUAUGGGAAAUGCAUACAAAUGACUUCUUUUAGAGAACCACUGAAUGGAAUGAAACCAAACAUAGCAUGAAUGUUCCUUAUGAGGUGCUGACCAAGUGUUGUUACUUUGUAGCCGAUCCAGCAUCCAAGAUGGACGCCAGCGGGGGACUUAGUUUAACAUAGGACCCUAUGGGAAAUGCAUACAAAUGACUUCUUUUAAAGAACCACUGAAUGGAAUGAAACCAAACAUAGCAUGAAUGUUCCUUAUGAGGUACUGACCAAGUGUUGUUACUUUGUAGCCGAUCCAUCAUCCAAGAUUGCCGCCAACAGAAUUCUUAGUUUAACAUAGGACCCUAUGGAAAAUACAUACAAAUUUCUUCUUUUAGAGAACCACUGAAUUGAAUGAAACCAAACAUGUUUGUUCCUUUCCUUUUGAGGUGCUGGCCAAGUGUUGUUACUUUGUAGCCAAAUUUUAUCUUUUUUUAUAUAAUUUCAAAAACCCAAGAAAAGUCAGGUGAGCGAU
RNAcentral lists this long non-coding RNA (682 nucleotides) under Mytilus galloprovincialis (Mediterranean mussel). Lineage: Eukaryota; Metazoa; Mollusca; Bivalvia; Mytilida; Mytilidae. The record is from RNAcentral.